AAAAGCUCACUGUUUGAGGAAAUACAUGAGGAUGAAACGGUACUUCAAGCCUCAACAGACUGGUCGACCCGAAAGAGCCUCAUAUCAGGGUGGUGGGAGAAAGAGAGACCCCGACUGGUCAACACCAUGGUGGCUCGACAACAUGCGGCAACUCGGAUCUGCCAACAUUGUGGAAAUGGUCCAGCCGUAAUCCGUUGUUGUGACUGCCGACCACACCCAUUCCUCUGUGGCCAGUGUGAUGUCAGGGUCCACCGAGGUCAAGUGUUCCACAACAGGGAUUCGAUGACACAUGCAUUCUUUCAUCCAUUGCCUCCCACAACUUGUGUUGUGGAGAGGGUUCUAACCCAGUGUGAGCGUCUUGUACCUUUGGAGAUGCCAGAGACAAUAUGCAGUUGUCUACGAGUAUCGUCCAGUGUCAUCGCAGGACAGUCCAUAGUUGUGGUUACAAUGAAUGGGCGAUAUGAUCUCAGAUUGCCUCAGAUUAGAGGCAAAGCAUGUGAAGCCACUUGGAGUCCUGGAGUGGAUGACCUGAUCCGUAAUGACUACUGGCCUGCCACUUCUCACUAUUCAACUGUGUAUGCAACAGAUGUCCUUUUUUCUUUUGAAGAGCUGAAGAUGGCAGCACCAGGGAUGUCUAGCCAAGCAUUUCUUAGAAUGCUGGAUCAACGCACUGUUCGCUUUGGCCGUAGCGGAAACAUCACAGCAGACAGCUUCCGGAAAAGCUUUUUUUGGGAGUGGGAAGCUGUCCGAUUCGAAGUGGACAAAUUAUGCCAGGAGGACCACUUUGACUGCCCAGCGUGCAGCCCAGACAUGCUUGCAGUAUCCGUUGAUGGAAACCGUAAGCACUACAGAUUCAAGAGUGCAGCAAUAUCGGAGGAAAAAGCCAUCUUUGAUGGCGUGUUCAUCGCAAAUGAUGAUGAUGUAGCAAGAUUCGUUGACUAUGUCCAUACCUCAACCAGUCAUGUCUCUGGAAGAGGUGUCUGUGGAGGGCAAUGGUCAGCGGCGCGUGAAACGUCUCAGAAGUCCUCAGGAAAAACAGACGAGGAGGGCCUGGAGCUCGCUGUAUGUCGUCAUGGGGUUCUCCUUCGUGCCCUCAAUAUGUUCAGGGGGGAGAUUUUUGCCUACCCCCUGUACCUCCAAAAGCAAAUGGCCUGUAAGCCAGUUAAAUUUUUUGCAAUGGAUGUGGCAUGCAAGUACUGGCCUUACCUCCAGAGAGUGACAGAGAAAUGCCCUGAGCUUGAGGAUCUCCUCACCAUGAGGCCAUUUCUUUCUGUUUUUCAUGCCAAAGCUCAUGAUUUCAAAUGUGAGGUAAAAUGGAGUGGAGCAUAUCAGGAGGGGGCUGGUUCGACUCUUGGGGAAGAGGUGGAGCAGUGCAACGCCUUCCUCUCGAGGAUUGCUGUUACGACAAAGCACAUGUCAAAAGCAGGACGCAUAGACAUGCUGACGAUCAUGGCCAUGCGCUGGAACCAACAAAAGUUUGACAACUUGGCUUCUACCCUUGCCCGCCGAUAUCGGAAGGCCACAAUAGCCCUGCAAUGCCAGUUGCAUAACCUGGAGGCCAUGAAAACGGAAAUGGACGUCUCAGACAAUCAACUGGAGAGGUGGAUCAUUGAUAUCAAUGAGUGGGCAGAAGCAACAACAUCCCGAAAUGAUGCUGAUGUUGCCGCUGUUGCCAGCCGAAUUGAGGAGCUGGUGGCAAGUGUUAAGAGGAGGUCCCAGCGUCUUUACAAGGAUAGUGACGGAUGCAAAGGACGUGCCCGAAUCCGCCGAAAGAUCAGGGAGGAAAAAAAAAUCUUAAAUUCUGUAGUGGAAAAGUAUAACACCUUGGUUCCUAAUGCAGAAAAACUGACAUUGGACACCAUUCUAUCUGAUGAGAUUGUUUGGCCAUGGCAGCUUACACACGGUGACUCUGUAGAUCUAAGGACAAAGAGGAAGGCGUUCGACAUUGUGAUGGCAGUAAGGAGACUUGAGGAGGAGAAGAGGAUUCUUAUUGCAGAGAUGAACAAGCAUUGGAAGUCUCUUUGCUCCCGUGCAGACACCCUGAAGCAGAUGUCAUCCCAGCUUUCUAAUGUGACAUCAGGUGAGACGUGGGGCCUGCUUCAAGAUGGUAUCCGAGGUCUACAGAGCUUGACGAUGAAGAACAAGCAAGCAAGCAACAGCCUGGCAAAGCAUGCAAAGAAAUAUUAUGUUCAAGUUCUGACUGAAACAGAAAUUAACUUUGAUAGUGAUUCUGAGGAAUACCAUACCAGUAGUGACUCUGAGCAAGAUUAAACAUGGCCAGAGUCCUUUUUUAUGCUGUUGUGUGCUGGGGAGGCAGCAUUAAGAAGAGGGCCGCUGGGACAGGUUGGUAAGGAAAGCUGGCUCUGUGUUUGGCAUGGAGCUGGAGUUAAUCAUUUAACAAACUGAGGAUAAUUUGCAGUAGCAGUCUUCUGUCAUGCUCAACAUUGAGGAGGUCCUUUGUCCCCAGGGCAUACCAGCAACUCAAUGUCACAGAAAAGGUUAGGGGAGAAAUGGACUUUUCAGCAUGAGUCUCACCCUGCGCCAACCAUUACAUCGCUUUGUCUAUUGUCUAGUAUCCACUAUCCAUUUGACUGUCUUACAGGCUACAUUAGCCCCUCUACACAUUCUGGACUGUGGUUUCAACAUUUACCCCUGUUGGCUUGUAUAAUCUUUUCUCUUUUUUAUAUAUAUAUAUUUAAGUUUCUGUUUUUCUAUCUAUUUUAACUUCCUUGUAUUGUUUUUGUUAAGCAAUACUAUUAUGCUCAGACUCUUUUUUCCAUAGUCAUAUUAAACAUGCACAGCUUUGCACUGAUUAAAUCCCUGCACUGUUUACUUUUGCACUACCACCACUGCAAAUCACUCUAUAGCUGCCCAUCAUGUAUCACAGGGUCAGUCCCUACCAGGCCUUUGUAAUCACUUGACAUGCUCUUCACUUUUUACAUUUGUGAUUUUUGUUAUGUGUCUGAGCUGUGUGUUGUUUUUGUGGUUGUAUAAGCUAAUAAAUGCCUAAAAUGUGGUGUGUCGUCUUAAGUAGCCUACAGUGUCUGUACUAGGGGGAAGAAGACAUUUCAUCAUGACAGUUUCCUCCAUCUACUAGAGACAUCUUACAUGGAUACACAGAUAACAUUUAUUCACGAGAUCAUAUGGUUUAUAUGUAUUUCUUUUAAUGUUAUUAUUUCUGUCUUAUUGCCAGGGAAGCUGGAUUGCUUUGUUUAUUGAUAUUUUUAAAACUACAAUGCUACAUCUAUCAACAUUUAUUUAGAUGUUAUCAUGGUAUUCAUUA
Long non-coding RNA from Cyprinus carpio carpio, 3283 nucleotides. NCBI's taxonomy places the organism in Eukaryota, Metazoa, Chordata, Actinopteri, Cypriniformes, Cyprinidae. The record is from Ensembl.